CAUCCUCUAAAUAAGGACAGGCAGGGAAUGGAAAGCUCUGCUUAUGAAAGGGAGUUCUUCAUCUUGUUCCCAGCUCAGAGAGCUACAAAGUCAUGGAGGCAGCAACCUUCAGCAGCAGGGCUCUCCAACACAGAAGUAAUUGUGCAGAUAUAAAGAGCUGAUGUGAACAAUCCAAACAAUGACGAAUAAUUGGUUGGAGCUGAUUCACAGGAAGUGCUGCACAGAUGACGUGAAGGUUACAGUCAAUCAUCGAGGAAAGUCAAGACAAGAACUCCAGUGAGAGACCACAGAGGAUUGCUGCUUUUAUUAGCUUCUCUCCCAGGCUUUCACAGCAACCUUGUUUCUAUAACCCAGGCCCAUGUGUCUAGGGAUGGCACUGUCUACAGUAGCAUGGGCCCUCCUACAUCUAUUAGAAAUUAACAAAAUGCUCCAAAGACAUUCCCACAGGCCAAGCUGAUGGAGGCAAUUCCUCAAUUGAGGUUCCUACUCCCCAGGUGAUUCCAGCUUGUCUCAAGUUGACAAAAACUAAUCAGCCCAUUAAAUAUAUAUUGAUAUUUAUCCUAAAUCUCUUUUGUGGGUUGUAUUUUCCUCUUACCCUUUUCCAUGAGUAAUGGGUUGUUUCAUUUUUCAAGACCCAGCU
Long non-coding RNA from Meriones unguiculatus (Mongolian gerbil), 640 nucleotides. RefSeq lists it as uncharacterized. Lineage: Eukaryota; Metazoa; Chordata; Mammalia; Rodentia; Muridae. The transcript is spliced from 3 exons. The record is from RefSeq and is a predicted model, not a curated record.